UGGGGAAUAUUGCACAAUGGGGGAAACCCUGAUGCAGCGACGCCGCGUGAGCGAAGAAGGCCUUCGGGUCGUAAAGCUCUUUUAUGAGGGAAGAUAAUGACGGUACCUCAAGAAAAAGCCCCGGCUAACUACGUGCCAGCAGCCGCGGUAAUACGUAGGGGGCUAGCGUUGUCCGGAAUCACUGGGCGUAAAGGGUUCGCAGGCGGAAUGACAAGUCAGAUGUGAAAGGCAUGGGCUCAACCCAUGUAAGCAUUUGAAACUGUAAUUCUUGAGAAGUGGAGAGGUAAGUGGAAUUCCUAGUGUAGCGGUGAAAUGCGUAGAUAUUAGGAGGAAUACCUGUGGCGAAGGCGACUUACUGGACACAAAUCUGACGCUGAGGAACGAAAGCGUGGGUAGCAAACAGG
RNAcentral lists this ribosomal RNA (404 nucleotides) under Bacteroidota bacterium. RNAcentral's name for it is "Bacteroidetes bacterium partial 16S ribosomal RNA". It matches the Rfam family "Bacterial small subunit ribosomal RNA", at positions 355 to 776 of the family's 1533-position model. The record is from RNAcentral. Lineage: Bacteria; Pseudomonadati; Bacteroidota.